CCUCACACAGCCCGUACUUUCCCCUCUUCAAGAUCAUGCACUUACCUUAGCUACCGCUAUAUCAAGAAAUACAAUGCAUUGUCAUAGUUCCAGCGCAGAAUAUAUUUUGCAGAUAUCUCUUCUCUUUUAGUUGUAGCUAGAUCUGUCAAUCUAGCUGAAUUAAUUUUUCUGAAAACUUGAAGAGUGUUGUCAAAUUCAGUUCAGCGAAUUUGGUGGCCUAACCCUCCUGCUUUCUCUGGUUGUAUUUCCUUUGUUGGCAAUGCUUGUUCCCUAGUGGGUUUCAAUUAAUAAAAAUUUCCCAACUCAAGAGCAAAACUCGGAUUUCUUCCCUCUUUCUUGGAAGAAAUACUAUUUUCUGGUAGAGUUCUGGUCUGAUGGGUGAACCUUAGGGCUUGUUUGAUUCCUUGAUUCUUUGAAAAUUGUUUUUGUAGAAUCACGAUUCUACAAUUUUAGUCAUGUUUGGUAAGUAAUGAAUGUAGUUCUUAGAAAAAGUGAUUCUUCCGACAUGUCGUUUUUGCACAUGAAGUGAUUCUUUUGUGAGAAUACUUCAAGAGGAGAUCUCAGAUAAGAAUCAACUGAUUCUUCUCCUCGUAUAAAAGCCACCCGUUCACCUGAGAAUCACAUUUAUCGGCUCCCAUCGACAACUCGUUGUUACCUUGCGCGAAGAAAUUUCUCGCAUCUUCUCUCACUGAAAACUUGUUGCUCCUUCGUCGCUCCUUGGUGCUUCUCUCACUGAAACAAGUUAUGAACUCUCUCACUCACCUCUCUCUGCAACUCGUGAAUGUUUUUCUCUCUUUACCUCUCUAUAUUUCUUGUUUUUGCAAUAGUUAAGGUCUCGAGUUUGAGAACCUAGAACCGAAAAUGGCUGAUGAGUGGUAACUCAGAGGAUGCCCUAGCGAACGGUAGUGUUUGGGGGUUUCAAACUGAUAGGGAUUUUGUGUGUUUCAACCCUGGAUUUCGCUUCAGCCAGGCCCAAAACCAACACAACUUGGAGAUUGAACGAAGCUCACCAAAAUGGCAUCCAACCAUGAGAAUGAUGCAAUAUACUAGAAGCGCAAGAAAAUCAUUAUCUUAGCGGCCACUGUUGCUGCUAUAGGAGUGGAGCAAUAUAGCAAGUCGUAUCUCACUAAGGAGCCUUACUGCAAUGAGGUCCUGCAUGGUAGUGCUGAGAUAGAGCGAAUAAUUGUUUUCAAUCUAUUAUCAAAUGCAUACAAGAUAGGGGCGAUAUGACCUAUGAUUGGGAACAAGUUCGCAACCAUUAUCGAAUAUGAAAGCAAAGGUUAAGAGCUUUGAGUGACCUCCAGAAGAAUAGUGGCAUAGGUUGAAAUUCAAUAGAGAUGCACCUCAACAUGUUUGGAAUGAGUUUAAGGUAAUUUUUCCCUUUUUUGAAUACCUUAUACCUAACCAUCCAUUUGUAAUCAUUUUUCUCAGUCUACUUUAUUGAUAUAAUCUUCUUAAAAAAUUUUGCAAAAGAAAGAGCAAAGAUAUUGGAAAGAACAUGUAGUUCUUCCAAUACACAUUCAAGUGGCUAAUGAGAUAGCUAGGGACUAUGACUCAUCACAUCCAUCAGAGACUGCAAAUGAUUGGCAGAAUGAUUACAGAGUCAAUCUUGAUGGAUUGGAGAACCUUUCUUUUGCUGGUGAUGGAGAGUUUCAAACUGAAGAAAGUAUACCUUCAGUUUGUCCAGAACAUUCUACUCCUGUUAGAGGUCAGCCUAAAUCAGUUUGUCUUAGUGGUAGUGGCAGUGGCAGUGGCAGUGGGAGAGAGAAGAGAAAGAAGGGAGGGGAUGAUAAGAUAUCAAGCCCUUUGAAGACAAUAGUUUCUGACCUUGGUCGUCUAGUCACCACUGAGUCUAGCGAUGACCUCACGGAUAGACUUUCUGGGGCAAUCGAUGCACUCCUAACUAUCGAUUUCAACAAGAAAUAACGUGAAAAAAUAUUCUUCGUGAAAAAUUAGGAGCUAUGCAAACUGUUUUUAAAAGCGAAGGAUGAAGAUAAACCACAGGUGGUGGAGUUGCUUAUGGAAGAUGACAAGGCCAAUGAUGUUUAAUGGGUGUUUUGUGAUAUGAAAUUUGGAUGUUUGUCUAAUGUUUAACUAUGAACUGAUGAACUUUGAAAACUGAACUUUUUUUUUUAUCCAGUAA
Long non-coding RNA from Macadamia integrifolia, 2143 nucleotides. RefSeq lists it as uncharacterized. NCBI's taxonomy places the organism in Eukaryota, Viridiplantae, Streptophyta, Magnoliopsida, Proteales, Proteaceae. The record is from RefSeq and is a predicted model, not a curated record. The transcript is spliced from 2 exons.